RNAcentral lists this ribosomal RNA (200 nucleotides) under uncultured bacterium. RNAcentral describes it as "partial 16S ribosomal RNA". It matches the Rfam family "Bacterial small subunit ribosomal RNA", at positions 8 to 198 of the family's 1533-position model. The record is from RNAcentral.
AGAGUUUGAUCCUGGCUCAGGACAAACGCUGGCGGCGUGCGUAACACAUGCAAGUCGGACGAGGGUAGGUGGUUCUUCGGAGCGACCUAGCCGAGUGGCGGACGGGUGAGUAACACGUGGAUAACCUGCCCUGGUGUGGGGGAUACCCUGUAGAAAUACGGGCUAAGACCGCAUAUGGUCGCUGGUGGGGAGCUACCGGC